Molecule: microRNA precursor, 119 nt
Organism: Chlorocebus sabaeus (green monkey)
Lineage: Eukaryota; Metazoa; Chordata; Mammalia; Primates; Cercopithecidae
Source: Ensembl
GAUUUUGCUCAACUGUCUCUUAGCAAAGCAAGCUGUGCUCUGAAGUGCAGGGGUUAUUUGCACUUCCUCUGCACUUGAAGCUGAGGCUGAAUGACUCUUUAGCUGAAAAGGUACCAAGG